AACGAACGCUGGCGGCAUGCCUAACACAUGCAAGUCGAACGAGACCUUCGGGUCUAGUGGCGCACGGGUGCGUAACGCGUGGGAAUCUGCCCCUUGGUUCGGAAUAACUUCGGGAAACUGAAGCUAAUACCGGAUAAUGACGUAAGUCCAAAGAUUUAUCGCCAAGGGAUGAGCCCGCGUAGGAUUAGCUAGUUGGUGGGGUAAAGGCUCACCAAGGCGACGAUCCUUAGCUGGUCUGAGAGGAUGAUCAGCCACACUGGGACUGAGACACGGCCCAGACUCCUACGGGAGGCAGCAGUGGGGAAUAUUGGACAAUGGGCGAAAGCCUGAUCCAGCAAUGCCGCGUGAGUGAUGAAGGCCUUAGGGUUGUAAAGCUCUUUUUACCCGGGAAGAUAAUGACUGUACCGGGAGAAUAAGCCCCGGCUAACUCCGUGCCAGCAGCCGCGGUAAU
Molecule: ribosomal RNA, 451 nt
Filed under: uncultured bacterium
Lineage: Bacteria
Description: bacterial SSU rRNA
Rfam family: Bacterial small subunit ribosomal RNA
Source: RNAcentral